This 419-nucleotide ribosomal RNA is filed under the name bacterium. RNAcentral's name for it is "partial 16S ribosomal RNA". It matches the Rfam family "Bacterial small subunit ribosomal RNA", at positions 355 to 776 of the family's 1533-position model. The record is from RNAcentral.
UGGGGGAUAUUGCACAAUGGGCGAAAGCCUGAUGCAGCGACGCCGCGUGGGGGAUGAAGGCUUUCGGGUUGUAAACCUCUUUCGCUAUCGAACAAGGCCCGCUUAGGGUGGUUGAGGGUAGGUGGAGAAGAAGCGCCGGCUAACUACGUGCCAGCAGCCGCGGUAAUACGUAGGGCGCGAGCGUUGUCCGGAAUUAUUGGGCGUAAAGGGCUUGUAGGCGGCUUGUUGCGCCUGCUGUGAAAACGCGGGGCUUAACUUCGCGCGUGCAGUGGGUACGGGCAGGCUUGAGUGUGGUAGGGGUGACUGGAAUUCCAGGUGUAGCGGUGGAAUGCGCAGAUAUCUGGAGGAACACCGAUGGCGAAGGCAGGUCACUGGGCCAUUACUGACGCUGAGGAGCGAAAGCAUGGGUAGCGAACAGG